This 253-nucleotide ribosomal RNA is filed under the name uncultured bacterium. RNAcentral describes it as "partial 16S ribosomal RNA". It matches the Rfam family "Bacterial small subunit ribosomal RNA", at positions 524 to 776 of the family's 1533-position model. The record is from RNAcentral.
GACGUAGGGCGCAAGCGUUGUCCGGAUUUAUUGGGCGUAAAGAGCUCGUAGGCGGCCUGUCGCGUCGACCGUGAAAACCCGCAGCUCAACUGCGGGCUUGCGGUCGAUACGGGCAGGCUGGAGUUCGGUAGGGGAGACUGGAAUUCCUGGUGUAGCGGUGAAGUGCGCAGAUAUCAGGAGGAACACCGGUGGCGAAGGCGGGUCUCUGGGCCGAUACUGACGCUGAGGAGCGAAAGCGUGGGGAGCGAACAGG